This 77-nucleotide transfer RNA is filed under the name Bifidobacterium apri. RNAcentral describes it as "tRNA-Pro". It matches the Rfam family "tRNA". Rfam says of the family: Transfer RNA (tRNA) molecules are approximately 80 nucleotides in length. Their secondary structure includes four short double-helical elements and three loops (D, anti-codon, and T loops). The record is from RNAcentral. Lineage: Bacteria; Bacillati; Actinomycetota; Actinomycetes; Bifidobacteriales; Bifidobacteriaceae.
CGGGCUGUAGCGCAGUUUGGUAGCGCGCCUGCUUUGGGAGCAGGAUGUCGCAGGUUCGAAUCCUGUCAGCCCGACCU